Molecule: ribosomal RNA, 255 nt
Filed under: uncultured bacterium
Lineage: Bacteria
Description: partial 16S ribosomal RNA
Rfam family: Bacterial small subunit ribosomal RNA
Source: RNAcentral
UACGGAGGGUGCGAGCGUUGUCCGGAAUCAUUGGGCGUAAAGGGCGCGUAGGUGGCCCCUCAAGCGUGCGGUGAAAGUCCGGGGCUCAACCCCGGAUCUGCCGUGCCGACUGUCAAACUCGAGGACUGUAGAGGCAGACGGAAUUCCGGGUGUAGCGGUGGAAUGCGUAGAGAUCCGGAGGAAGACCGGUGGCGAAGGCGGUCUGCUGGGCAGUUUCUGACACUGAGGCGCGACAGCGUGGGGGAGCAAACAGGG